CUCGACCUAGCGAGAUUCAAGUCUAUUUAGUGUGGUAAGUCGAUUCACUAUUUAUGCUAGUGGUUCAAUGAUCGGAUUAAUUAACUAUAUUAAUACAUGGGUUCUUUUAUCAGUAGCAUAUGCAUUGUGAUUGUCUUAGAUAAUUGCUAUAAUGUCUCGUCUAUGCGGUGUGGGUGUGGGCAUAAUUAUGAAAUAGGCGUAUUAUAAUUAGGUGGAAAAGCAAACUAGAGCAACACUUACUGUGUGUAUAAUGCAUUGCCUUAGUUACUUGUAAUGCUAUAGUCGUAUUUUGCAAUUAUUAAGCAUAUAUAUUGUUAGGUGUGAUAUCGUGUUUGAAUUGCAGGUUUGGGUGAAAAGUGCAUCGAUAGGCUAGUGGGUAUUGCUAAAAUGUACCAUAUCAUGCAUUAGUGUGAUUAUGUGCAUACUUGUAAUGUAGUCGCUUUGUAUGAUAAAACCUAAGUAUGAUAAAACCUAAGUUUAAGAUAUAAAUUAUGCGAGGAAUGAUUUAAUAGAUUACUAUGUCUAAAAUAAUUGAGUUAGCCUUAUAAAUGCGGAAUUUGACGCUUUAGGUAGGCAAAGAAUGUUUUGGUAAACAAGUAUACGAAGGACAACUUUAGUGAUUCAACUGUCUAGCCAAUAAAUGCAAUUAGGCGAUUUAAGCCCCUUUGUUUCUAAGUGUAGUAACCUAUCAAUGUUGUGCUCUAAGUAUGUUAGGACUUGUAUAUUGUUAUUGUUCUUGAUGUUUGAGUUAGAUCUAGUUAAGAUAGAGAGGGUGAUUGUUGUAUUCAGUAAUAUGUCGAUACUAGUAUCAUGAGUGUUGUAAUACAUCUCACCAUUAGUGUUUAAUUCUUCACUGUGUAAAAUCGUAAUAUUAUCUUGCGAUAUUCGUCUUGAUAUUCAUACAUGUGCAUUGUGCAUCCCAUGAGGUACGUUAAUUAAUCACGUGAUCCGGAGGACCAAAGCUGAGUCGACCACAAGAGGCUGGAAAGCGUGAGCCACUCGCAAGGUGAUGCUGUUGGAUCCACCUGAAGAUGGAUAGGCUGAACAAGUGCCAACACAAAAGGCUGUUCGCCAAGUGGUAGCCACCUAACAAACACUAACCUAGUGUUAUUCCAGGUAAGCCCUGGUGGAUUUACACCUUCCUUGUUGUUUUAAACUCUUAUUCACUUGAGAUGACGCAUUAGGUGAUAGGAGUUGUGUGUUAAACAAUUGCUGCAUUUCCUUCCUUGGAACUGAUUACCAUUCCUUGAUACCUGUUUUACUUAAAAGUUUUCUGAUGCUUAGUCUUGCCUUAGACAACAAAAUGUUUUAUUUUAAACAAAGAUGAUGCUUCAUAUGGGAUGGGAAGUUUUCAAAGAAAAGACUUGAUGGUGAAUCCAUCAUGGCCAUGAUGGGUUCAACAUCUGAAAAGAUGUACCUCUGUCAGGUACCAAACUUUGGGUUGUAAAUGAUAAAGACGAGACCGGGCGGGUGACUUGCACGAGAAGAGAGUCUCGGUGUAGUGUCACCGUCUGAGUCGAUUAAGGAUCGUGUCGAUGUGGGUCUGCUGACCGAGGACCCUUUAACCGGUCACAUGCUUCAUCAUGGGUAAGCUUUGCCUCAGUCAGACCAAUACCAGAAAGGCCACCACGCAAUGAGAGUGGAGAGAUGGCGAGAGUAGCAUGUACCCUCCGUGGCAAGAGGCUGGACGGUGGUGUAUCUGUGCUCUCGGUUGGCGUGAACCCGUUCUAGUCUUGAGAAACCCGGUGGCGAGUUGACAUAUGCAAGGGUUAAGUGCUACAUAUGUCGUGUGGUUAGAGAUACCCAGCUGGGUAUUAAUCGAUUCGGAUCGCCAUUAUUUCUCGGACAUGAAGACUUGGUCACUGACUUACACGUAGCAAUCCAGUGAACUGAAGGGCUGAUAAAAAGACGGCUAGUAUAGGCCAAGUGUUUGAACUAGGACUGAAAGAACUCUAGAUGCAGGUAACUUUACUUAACCUGACAAGUAAAAUGAAUUCUUAAGGAUCCAUUCAUAGUAAGCUUUUCUGCAAAAGAGUCUUUGAAUCUUGUUAAACUUUACCUUGAUUCCCAAAAGCCAGCAUAUCCUUGAGAGUUUUUUUCCUUAGACGGGUAAGACUUGCGAAAGUAAACUUCGUACUCAGGAUUUUCGAACCCAUGUUGUUGCAGGUACUAGAUUUGUGCUGCUGUGGAUGGUGUUAAGCGCCGGUGGGCACGACCUUCUUAUAGGUUAAAGUAGCUCUUCUAUACUUCUUAUUGAGGAUUGUCACUGAGCUAGCAUAUAUUUCAAACUUAUAAAUAAAUUAUAACAUUUUAAAGUUUAUUUCUUUGAAUCACUUCUGUAAUCACUCCGAUAAACAUAAUGUGAAUUUGUUAUAACUUGUAACUUUUUGUAAUAAGGAAAUUCAACUACAAAUGUUGGUGUGUGAUUUGUGUUUACUUAAUCUUGUGAUCCUGGUUGUAAGUGGUUUAUCCGGGGUCCUUGGGGCACUCGGACGGAUCUUGUUAAGUUAUCUGGUGCACAUGCAUAGCCGUGUGAGGUCUUUGAGACAAGGGCAGAUGCAUGUGGGCCCAAUAACUUGGGAGGUUCUGCCACAAAAUUCUCAUGAAUUAAGAAAUACAAGGCUCCAAAGUCAGCUUAAUCUCACUGAAAUUUCAGAGUUUAACACAUGGGUGUUCUUGGGAAUUUUGCAAUUAAGUCUAAAUUGCUCCACACUACUUGAAAAUUCUCCAAUGUAAAAGUUGCUUGGUUUUUUAUGUUCUACCACUUUUAUAUAUACACUUUGGUCCAAAAGUGUAUAGAAUUUGAAAUUACCCCCUAGGGUACAAAUUAGGGUUUUUAGGGUUCCUUUUAGGGUUUUGAGCACUCUAGGGUUUUUGUGCCACUCAAAUCCAUGAAACUUGAUAUCUUAUGAAUGUUUCCAAUUACUUUUGAGGUAUUACUCAUUUUGGCUUCCCAUUACCCACAUGCCCUAAUCCCAGGGUUAAGCACCCUACCCUAGGGUUAAGAAUACUUCAAGACAUUACAUCACAUUGUUUUGAAGUUUUAACCUAGUAGAUGCAUUCUAGGUGUGACAAACAAAAUGGAAUGUCAAUGCAUAUGAUGCUAUGCUCAAGUUUUAGUGUCAGUAACACCAAGGGUGUUACAGUGUCCAUCUCCUCUGCCUUGCUGUUGUGUUGGAGGGUCUCUUCUUCUCGGUGGAGGAGGUGGAGGGUCAAUGGAGGCACCUCCUCCACAUCCAUCUUGUGUCCACUACAAGGGUGGUAGGUAGGGACCAUCAUUUGCCAUCAUUAGAGUUAGCAUCUCUUCCAGUCACUCGCAAACCCUAGGCGAGGGGUCCAGUAGGAUUAGGGUUGGGCAAAGGCUAGUUGCGUUGGAUUAAGCCAUCGUUCCCCUUAAUCCCUUCAUGGAGAGCUUGACGGAGACACCACCAAGACAUAUAGGAGCGCGACAACCUUUAAGAGUAACAAGUCGAUGAUGCUUGCCGGCGUAUCGCCUAGUGUCUCAAAGAUCACUAAUUGAUGCAAAUGCACUAGGAGCUCUCAAUCUCUCACUAGAAUCCAAUCUCAAGCAAAGUGUGCGAGAGAGUGAGUGGGAGGAUCACAAAUGUGCUCAAUGUGUACUAGAAAUGGCCAAGAGAGGUCUCACACACGACCUCCACUUCUGUUUAUAGGCCUCCACUCAAAACAAACUGUAAUAUGGAAGAUGUCAACUUUCUGCGCACACGCAGACGGUCCGCCCUCUUAGGGAGGACAGUCUGCUGUACAUGUAAUGACUAGUUUUCCCGCUUGAAACCUGUCAGAGUUGUCACAAAAAGGUUGGCCCAGACGGUCCACCAACCUUGGACGGACGGUCCGAGACCUAGCAACCUAUCGCACCCGAGCAGUGACCAAGUUAACUUACACGGGUGGACGGUCCGCCCUCCAAGGCCGGAUGGUCCGCCACUGUAACACUUCAAAAUCGUAUCUUGGUGAAUUAAGAAAAUUCCCUAAAGAUUUAAAAUUUCAAGUGUAUUAUAACAAAGUUAUGAAUUGAGACUAUUUUCCCUAAAAUUUAAUAAAUAGUAAAUAUAAAAUGAUGGCUAUAUACUUAAACUAUAAUAAAUAGGAUAAUGAGUUAUUCUAUAUAAAUUACUCCUAUUGGGUUAUAUAACUAUGUGAAUUCUAUGCUUAUUGAAUUUCGUAGAUACAAAUACUUAUUUGAGCAAAGUAAAUAAGGAGUAAUAAAUGUAAAAUAUUUGCAUUCAUGUUGGUGUUUUGGUUGUGCAUAUAAAUAUGGUUUCAAAAUUUAAAAUCAUAUUUGAAAUGGGAUAACUAAACCUGGAAAUAAAAAACAGGAAAAAAUAAUAGCAAAUAAAAGGCUUACCUAUUCAGCCACUUAAGGAACACAACUCACGUGAGUUUUUUCUCUUAUUUUUAUUGCACUUGCUGGAUCUUGCAUCACUGUUACAUCAUUCAUGACAUCAGCCAUCCCUUGUUGUUCGUAACAAACUAACCACCGUAGUUGUUGUAACCGCCCGACCAAACUUCUCAACUGUGUAACAUAUUUGGUUUCGAGUUUGUUAGAGUUCCUAACAGAUAGGAUAUGAUUGUAACAUAUAAGUACCAGAUUAGAUCUGUCAUAUAACAAAUUUGGUUUCGAGUUUGUUAGAGUUCCUAAUAGAUAGGAUAUGAUUGUAACAGAUAAGUACCAGAUUAGAUCUAUCAUGUAACCACCCACCUUCUAGCCUAUAUAAAUACAUGUCACCAUAACACUUGAAGCCAUCAAUCAUAGACUCAUCUCAUCUAUAGCCUCGCGGCAGCACCGUCGCCAUCCAAGCCACAACAGCCCGUCGCCAGCUAAGCUCGCAACCAUAAGCUGCUAUGAGCAACUCGUCGAAGUUCGAGUUCCUCACCAACUCUAACGACAACUUCGGCGAGUAAUUUCUCACCGUCCGUUCAUCUUCUGGGGCAGCCCAGAACAUCACCAUGACUAGCUCACGAGAGCUUCGACACCGCGCUUCUGGUUCAUCGAUCGGAUCUCCGGUUCAUAAUCAAAAACCAAGAUGACUAGCAAUAACGAGGGAGUGAAGAGCUUGAUCGUAAAGUAAGUUAGUGGUAGGUUAGGGGUCUUUCCCACAUAAUAAGUUUGGCGCUUCCUACCUGAUAGAUAACCACCACUAUUGUCGGCGUUUCGACCUCGGGGGGUCCCUAGACCGAUGAGUAAAUUGUCGCUGCGUGUCCCAGCCUAGAUGGGUCGGCGCGAGACGGAACACAGAGGGGGAAAAUAGUAAGGGGAAACCGCGGCCUUCGUGUUGUCCUGCGCCCGGGGCGGAUGGAUGCGCUUGCAGUAGGGGGUUACAAGCGUUCGCGUGGGAGAGAGCGAGAGCGAGAGCCUUAUGCGUCGGCCCGUUCUCCCGCGCGACCAACCUUUUGUACGAGAGCCCUAGACCUUCCUUUUAUAGACGUAAGGAGAGGGCCCAAGUGUACAAUGGGGGGUGUAGCAAUGUGCUAACGUGUCUAGCAGAGAGGAGCUAGUGCCCUAUGUACAUGCCGUCGUGGCUGUCGGAGAGGUGUUGCUGCCCUGUUCAUGUGAUGUCGUGGCCGUCGGAGGAGAGCUGGAGCCCUGCGGAAGUACAGCUGUCGGGGCUGUCGGAUCCUUGCUGACGUCUCCUUGCUGACGUAAGGGGUUGGGAGCUGCCGUCGUCAUGGAGCGUGCGGGGUGUCAUCAUUACUUGUUUACUGGGGCGAGCCAGAUGGGACGUCGAUCUUGUUCCCCGUAGCCUGAGCUAGCUAGGGGCAGGGUAAUGAUGGCCCCCCUGGCGACGUGGCCGGUCCGGGCCCGAGUUUGGGCGAGGUGGCGAUUCCUCUGAGGUCGAGGUUGAGUCCAAGCCUUGGGGUCGGGCGAGGCGGAGUCCAUCGUCUUCCGGAGCCAAGGCUGAGUCCGAGCCCUGGGGUCGGGCGAGGCGGAGUCCAUCGUCUUCCGGAGCCGAGGCUUAGUCCGAGCCCUGGGGUCGGGCGAGGCGGAGUUCGUCGUCUUCUAAGUCGUGGUUGAGUCCGAGCCCUGGGGUCGGGCGAGGCGAAGUCCAUCUUCCGAGGCCGAGACAGGGGCUGAACCCUGGGGUCAGGCGAGGCGGAGCUUCCUAUGUCGCCCGAGGCUGGACUUAGCCGCUGUCGACCUUACUCUGGCGAGUGGCACGACAGUCAGAGCAGGGCAGGCGACGCUGUAUUCCUGUCAGGUCGGUCAGUGGAGCGGCGAAGUGGCUGCGGUCACUUCGGCCUUGUCGACUGAAGAGUGCGCGUCAGGACAAGAUGUCAGGCGAUCCUUGCAUUAAAUGCUCCUGCGAUAUGGUCGGUUGGUGUGGCGAUUUGGCCAGGGUUGCUUCUCCGCGAAGCCUACCCGAGCUGUGCCUCAGGCGAGUCGACGGUGCGUCCGUUGCUUGAGGGGAUCCUCGGGCGAGGCAUGAAUCUUCCGGGGUCGGCUGUCUUUGCCCGAGGUCGGGCUCGGGCGAGGCGGGAUCGUGUCCUUUGAGCGGAGCCUUGGCCUGAAUCACGCCCAUCAGGCCUUCGCAGCUUUGUGCUGAUGGGGUUUACCAGCUGAGAUCAGUAGUCUUGGGGGUACCUCUAGUUAUGUUCCCCGACAGUAGCCCCCGAGCCUCAAAGGGAGUGUUGGCACUCGCUUGGAGGCUUUUGUCGCACUUUUUUGCAAGGGGACCGGCCUUUCUCGGUUGCAUUUCGUUCCGGUGGGUGCGCGCGAGCGCACCCACCGGGUGUAGCCACCGAGGCCUCGGAGGAGUGUUUUGACUCCUUCGAGGUCUUAGUGCCUUUCGUGAUGGCUUGGCCGGUUUGGUUGUUCCCUCAUGCGAACUGGUCGUUGCCCGAGUGCUUAGUCAGGUCCCAAGUUCUCGGGCUGGUAUGUUGACGCUGUCAACGGUUUGGCCGGAGCCGGGUUUGCGAGAGCAGCCCCCGAGCCUCCGCACAGAGCGAGAGGACGGUCAAGGACAAACUCGGCUUUUUUCAUACGCCCCUGCGUCGCCUUUCCGCAAGGAGGGGGGGGGAAGCGCCAUGUUGCCCUCGGAGGGCGCCAAACAUGGUGUCUCCAGUGAGUUGCUAACGGGUAAUCCGAGUGGACGCCCAUGCCCCAUUCGUUAGGGGUCGGCUAGUGGCCUGGAGGCGCGCUCCAAAAGUACCUGCGGGUGAUUCGCCGGACCCGGUCCCCUUUUGACGGGGUCCGAGGGCUCGAUGCCUCCCUCUGGUGGGAUUCCGUUACAAAAUCGUUCCCGUUGGUCUCGGAAAUGUCCUAGGGUACCUCGGGAGCGUAGCCCGAGCCUUGGUUAUGUAUCGAACGUACCCAGGGUCAUCCCUCGCUCUGCGUGCUCUGAGGCGGCUAUCGAACCCUUCGGGGGCCAGCCUACGAACCCCUGAUCAGUAGUGGGCGCGGAGCUCGAGUGGCCUGAGGCAGCCGUUGAACCCUUCCGAGGGGCCAGCCUUCGAACCUCUGACCAGUAGUGGGCGCGGAGCCCGAGUGCUCUGAGGCGGCUGUUGAACCCUUCCGAGGGGCCAGCCUUCGAACCUCUGAUCAGUAGGGGGGCUCGGGGCCCGCUUCCUUCGCGGAGAAGGAUACGAAAUCGAAUGACGUGGCACACCUUUUUUUUGACGCGGUCAUUAUGGCGGAGGUGAAGCGUCGCCUGCUUUGCCUGCCAAAGGUGCCGCCUGUCCCGCCGUAGAGUUAAUGCGAUGGGACGAGUGGUUCGCGGGGCAGCCGUUGUGCGUGCGCGAGCCGUUCGAGGAACGGGCGUCUCGCCUUUGAGUUUUGAAUCUCGCGGCGGGUUCGGGCGAAGUGUUGAACGGGUCUCGCCUGGGCCUUUAUAUAUUUGGGAGAGGGACCGGUGACGGUUCUUUACUCUGCUGCUCGCCUCCCACUUAGGUUUUUGCAACCUGAGGGAAUAGCCAGAGAAAGGAAACCGCGCACCUUGUCCUCUCCGUCGCCACCUCUUCUGCUUGAUGAUGGCCGACCGGGUGACCGUUGUUUCGCCGCGUGACCCGUGGCCUUUCUCCACCGUCACGGCGGAUGAUCUGGAGGCCCUUGUUGCUGAUGGUUUGCUUCGUCCUCUCUCCGGUGACUCGCAGCCGGAGUGGAUGGCCCCUCCGAGCGGAGCCGCCCCGUCCCCGCCGCCGGGGUAUGUGCUGAGCUUCGUCUCUUUUCACGAGCAGGGGUUCGGAGUGCCGGCAAGUCGUUUCAUGCGGGCGAUUCUGCAUGUCUACGGGGUGGAGCUGCACAAUCUCAGUCCCAACUCCAUCGCGCAAGCAGCCAUCUUCGCGGCGGUUUGCGAAGGAUUUUUGGGGAUUGCCCCCCACUGGGACCUGUGGACCCAUCUCUUCUCCGCGGAGCUUUUUGCCUCGACGACGGGGGAAAGAAAAGUUUGCAUGGCGGUGCGGGCCGGUGGCUGCAUCCUCCAGUUGAGGCAGGCGCAGACGCAGCAGUACAUCCCUACCAUCCUUGCGUCUUCGAACAAGGGGUGGCAGCUGAAAGUCGCCUAGAGGGGGGGUGAAUAGGGCGAAACUGAAAUUCUCAAGAAUAAUCACAACUAUAAGCCGGGUUAGCGUUAGAAAUAUAAUAGAGUCCGCGAGAGAGGGUGCAAAACAAAUCGCAAACGAAUAAUGAAGUGAGACGCGGAUUUGUUUUACCGAGGUUCGGUUCUCUCAAACCUACUCCCCGUUGAGGAGGCCACAAAGGCCGGGUCUCUUUCAACCCUUCCCUCUCUCAAAACGGUCCCACGGACCAAAUGAGCUUUCUCUUCUCAAUCACUUGGAACACAAAGUUCCCACAAGGACCACCACAAGUUUGGUGUCUCUUGCCUCAAUUACAAGUGAGUUUGAUCGCAAUGAAAGAAUCAAGAAGGAAGAAAGCAAUCCAAGCGCAAGAGCUUGAAAGAAACACAAGCAAAUCACUCUCUCUAAUCACUAGGGCGUUGUGUGGAAUUUGGAGAGGAUUUGAUCUCUUUGGUGUGUCUAGAAUUGAAUGCUAGAGCUCUUGUAAGUAGUUGGGAAGUGGAAAACUUGGAUGCAAUGAAUGGUGGGGUGGUUGGGUUAUUUAUAGCCCCAACCACCAAACUUGACCGUUGGCGGAGGCUGUCUGUUCGAUGGCGCACCGGACAGUCCGGUGCACACCGGACAUGUCCGGUGCCCCAGCCACGUCACCAGUGCCGUUGGAAUCUGACCGUUGGAGUUCUGACUUCUGGGCCCGCCUCGAUGUCCGGUGGCGCACCGGACAUGAACUGUUCAGUGUCCGGUGCGCCGGUAUGGGCGCGCCUGCCUUCUGCGCGCGCUGCGCGAACAUUUAAUGCGUGGCAGGUAGCCGUUGGCGCGAAGUAGCAGUUGCUCCAAGGAUGCACCGGACAGUCCGGUGCACACCGGACAUGUCCGGUGAAUUAUAGCGGAGCAGCCUUCGUGAAAUCCCGAGGCUGGCGAGUUCCGGAGCAGCGUCUUCGUUGGAGCACCGGAUACUGUCCGGUGUACACCGGACAGUCCGGUGAAUUAUAGCGCGCCGGUUCUGGAUUUUCCCGAAGGUGACGAGUUGGAGUUGGAGUCCUCUGGUGCACCGGACACUGUCCGGUGGCACACCGGACAGUCCGGUGCGCCAGACCAGAGGAGCCUUCGGUUGCUCCUUUGCUCUUUUUGUUGAACUCAAUACUUGGUCUUUUUAUUGGCGAAGUGUGAACCUUUUGCACCUGUAUAACUUAUACACUAGAAUAAACUAGUUAGUCCAAAGAUUUGUGUUGGGCAAUUCAACCACCAAAAUUACAUAGGAACUAGGUGUAAGCCUAAUUCCCUUUCAAUCUCCCCCUUUUUGGUGAUUGAUGCCAACACAAACCAAAGCAAAUAUAGAAGUGCAUAAUUGAACUAGUUUGCAUAAUAUAGGUGCAAAGGUUGCUUGGAAUUGAGCCAAUAUAAAUACUUACAAGAUAUGUAUAGAUUGUUUCUUCAUUUUUAACAUUUUGGACCACGCUUGCACCACAAGUUUUGUUUUUGCAAAUUCUUUUGUAAAUUCUUUUCAAGGUCCUUUUGCAAGAUAGUCAAAGGUAAAUGAAUAAGAUUUUGAGAAGCAUUUUCAAGAUUUGAAAUUCUCUCCCCUUGUUCCAAAUGCUUUUCCUUUGACUAAACAAAACUCCCCCUAAAUGAGAUCCUCCUCUUAGUGUUCAAGAGGUUUUUGAUUUAUCAUUUUUGAAAUACUACUUUCUCCCCCUUUAGAACAUAAUAAGAUACCAAUUUGAAAUUGACCAAUUGAAAAUCUCCAAAAAUUUUAAAAUUAGGUGGUGGUGCGGUCCUUUUGCAGUGGUGGUGCGGUCCUUUUGCUUUGGGCUCAUAUUUUCUCCCCCUUUGGCAUGAAUCGCCAAAAACGGAAUCAUUAGAGCCCAACGAAGUACUUUCUCCUCCUUUGGUCAUAAAAUAAAUGAGUGAAGAUUAUACCAAAGUUGGAGAGAUGCUUGGAGUGACGACGAAGUAUGAGUAGUAGUGUGGAGUGGAAGCCUUUGUCUUCGCCGAAGACUCCAAUUUCCUUUCAAUAUACCUAUGACUUGGUUUGAAAUACACUUGAAAACACAUUAGUCAUAGCAUAUAUAAAAGAGAUAUGAUCAAAGGUAUACUUGUGUGCUAUGUGUGCAAAUUAGCAAAAGAAAUUCCUAGAAUCAAGAAUAUUGAGCUCAUGCCUAAGUCUGGUAAAAGAUUGUUCAUCAAGUGGCUUGGUAAAGAUAUCGGCUAAUUGAUCUUUAGUGUUAAUGUAUGAAAUCUCGAUAUCCCCCUUUUGUUGGUGAUCCCUAAGAAAAUGAUACCGAAUGGCUAUGUGUUUAGUGCAGCUAUGCUCAACGGGAUUAUCCGCCAUGCGGAUUGCACUCUCAUUAUCACAUAGAAGAGGAACUUUGGUUAAUUUGUAACCAUAGUCCCGCAGGGUUUGUCUCAUCCAAAGCAAUUGCGCGCAACAAUGGCCUGCGGCAAUAUACUCGGCUUCGGCGGUAGAAAGAGCGACCGAAUUUUGCUUCUUUGAAGCCCAAGACACCAAGAAUCUUCCCAAGAACUGGCAAGUCCCCGAUGUGCUCUUCCUAUUAAUCUUACACCCUGCCCAAUCGGCAUCCGAAUAACCAAUUAAUUCAAAUGUGGAUCCCCGAGGGUACCAAAGCCCAAACUUAGGAGUAUAAGCCAAAUAUCUCAAGAUUCGUUUUACGGCCGUAAGGUGUGAUUCCUUAGGGUCGGCUUGGAAUCUUGCACGCAUGCAAACGGAAAGCAUAAUGUCCGGUCGAGACGCACAUAAAUAAAGCAAUGAACCAAUCAUCGACCGGUAUACCUUUUGAUCCACGGACUUACCUCCCGUGUCGAGGUCGAGAUGCCCAUUAGUUCCCAUGGGUGUCUUGAUGGGCUUGGCAUCCUUCAUUCCAAACUUGUUUAGAAUGUCUUGAGUAUACUUUGUUUGGCUAAUGAAGGAGCCCUCUUGGAGUUGCUUCACUUGAAAUCCUAAGAAGUACUUCAACUCCCCCAUCAUAGACAUCUCAAACUUUUGUGUCAUGAUCCUACUAAACUCUUCACAUGUAGAUUCGUUAGUAGACCCAAAUAUAAUAUCAUCAACAUAAAUUUGGCAUACAAACAAAUCAUUCUCAAGUGUUUUGGUAAAUAGCGUAGGAUCGGCCUUUCCGACUUUGAAGCCAUUAGCAAUAAGGAAAUCUCUAAGGCAUUCAUACCAUGCUCUUGGGGCUUGCUUGAGCCCAUAAAGCGCCUUAGAGAGCUUAUAGACAUGGUUAGGGUACUCACUAUCUUCAAAGCCGGGAGGUUGCUCAACAUAGACCUCUUCCUUGAUUGGUCCAUUGAGGAAGGCACUUUUCACGUCCAUUUGAUAAAGCUUAAAGCCAUGGUAAGUAGCAUAGGCCAAUAAUAUGCGAAUUGACUCAAGCCUAGCUACGGGUGCAUAGGUUUCACCGAAAUCCAAACCUUCGACUUGGGAGUAUCCCUUGGCCACAAGUCGUGCUUUGUUCCUUGUCACCACACCAUGCUCAUCUUGCUUGUUGCGGAAAACCCAUUUGGUUCCUACAACAUUUUGAUUAGGACGUGGAACUAAAUGCCAUACCUCAUUUCUAGUGAAGUUGUUGAGCUCCUCUUGCAUCGCCACCACCCAAUCCGAAUCUUGUAGUGCUUCCUCUACCCUGUGUGGCUCAAUAGAGGAAACAAACGAGUAAUGUUUACAAAAAUGUGCAACACGAGAUCUAGUAGUUACCCCCUUAUGAAUGUCGCCGAGGAUGGUGUCGACGGGGUGAUCUCGUUGUAUUGCUUGGUGGACUCUUGGGUGUGGCGGCCUUGGUUCUUGCUCAUCCUCCUUUUCUUGAUCAUUUGCAUCUCCCCCUUGAUCAUUGCCAUCAUCUUGAGGUGGCUCAUUUGCUUGAUCUUCUACUUCAUCAACUUGAGCUUCAACCUCAUUUUGAGUCGGUGGAGAUGCUUGCGUGGAGGAGGAUGGUUGAUCUUGUGCAUGUGGAGGCUCUUCGGAUUCCUUAGGACACACAUCCCCAAUGGACAUGUUCCUUAGCGCGAUGCACGGAGCCUGUUCUUUACCUAUCUCAUCAAGAUCAACUUGCUCUAUUUGAGAGCCGUUAGUUUCAUCAAACACAACGUCACAAGAAACUUCAACUAGUCCUGAGGACUUGUUAAAGACUCUAUAUGCCCUUGUGUUUGAGUCAUAUCCCAGUAAAAAGCCUUCUACAGUUUUAGGAGCAAAUUUAGAUUUUCUACCUCUCUUAACAAGAAUAAAGCAUUUGCUACCAAAAACUCUAAAAUAUGAAAUAUUGGGCUUUUUACCAGUAAGGAGUUCAUAGGAUGUCUUCUUGAGGAUUCGGUGUAGAUAUAACCGGUUGAUGGCGUAGCAAGCGGUGUUGACCGCCUCGGCCCAAAACCGAUCCGGUGUCUUGUACUCAUCAAGCAUGGUUCUUGCCAUGUCCAAUAGAGUUCGAUUCUUCCUCUCCACUACACCAUUUUGUUGUGGAGUGUAGGGAGAAGAGAACUCAUGCUUGAUGCCCUCCUCCUCAAGAAAGCCUUCUAUUUGUGAGUUCUUGAACUCCGUCCCGUUGUCGCUUCUAAUUUUCUUGAUCCUUAAGCCGAACUCAUUUUGAGCCCGUCUCAAGAAUCCCUUUAAGGUCUCUUGGGUAUGAGAUUUUUCCUGCAAGAAGAAUACCCAAGUGAAGCGAGAAUAAUCAUCCACAAUAACUAGACAGUACUUACUCCCGCCGAUGCUUAUGUAAGCGAUCGGGCCGAAUAAAUCCAUGUGUAGGAGCUCCAGUGGCCUAUCGCUUGUCAUAAUGUUCUUGUGUGGAUGAUGAGACCCAACUUGCUUUCCUGCUUGGCAUGCGCUACAAAUCCUGUCUUUCUCAAAAUGAACAUUUGUUAGUCCCAAAAUGUGCUCUCCCUUUAGAAGCUUAUGAAGAUUCUUCAUCCCAACAUGAGCUAGUCGGCGGUGCCAGAGCCAACCCAAGUUAGUCUUAGCAAUUAAGCAAGUGUCGAGUUCAGCUUUAUCAAAAUCUACCAAGUAUAGCUGACCCUCCAACACUCCCUUAAAUGCUAUUGAAUCAUCACUUUUUCUAAAGACAGUGACACUUACAUCAGUAAAUAGACAGUUGUAGCCCAUUUGACAAAGUUGCGAAACAGAAAGCAAAUUGUAAUCUAAAGAGUCUACAAGAAAAACAUUGGAAAUAGUAUGGUCAGGUGAUAUAGCAAUUUUACCCAAACCUUUGACCAAACCUUGAUUUCCAUCCCCGAAUGUGAUAGCUCGUUGGGGAUCUUGGUUUUUCUCAUAUGAGGAGAACAUCUUUUUCUCCCCUGUCAUAUGGUUUGUGCACCCGCUAUGGAGUAUCCAACUUGAGCCCUCGGAUGCAUAAACCUACAAAACAAUUUUAGUUCUUGACUUUAGGUACCCAAACGGUUUUGGGUCCUUUGGCAUUAGAAACAAGAACUUUGGGUACCCAAACACAAGUCUUGGAGCCCUUGUGUUUGCCCCCAACAAACUUGGCAACUAUCUUGCCGGAUUUGUUAGUAAGCACAUAUGAUGCAUCAAAAGUUUUAAAUGAAAUACUAUGAUCAUUUGAUGCGCUAGGAGUUUUCUUCUUAGGCAACUUAGCACGGGUUGGUUGCCUAGAGCUAGAUGUCUCACCCUUAUACAUAAAAGCAUGGUUAGGGCCAGAGUGAGACUUCCUAGAGUGAAUUUUCCUAAUUUUGCUCUCAGGAUAACCGACAGGGUAUAAAAUGUAACCCUCGUUAUCUUGAGGCAUGGGAGCCUUGCCCUUAACAAAAUUUGACAAUCUUUUAGGAGGGGCACUAAGUUUGACAUUGUCUCCCCUUUGGUAGCCAAUGCCAUCCUUAAUGCCAGGGUGUCUCCCAUUAUAGAGCAUACUUCUAGCAAAUUUAAACUUUUUCAUUUUCUAAGUUAUGCUCGGCAAUUUUUGCAUCUAAUAUUGCUAUAUGAUCAUUUUGUUGUUUAAUCAAAGUCAUGUGAUCAUGAAUAGCAUUAAUAUCAACAUCUCUACAUCUAGUACAAAUGGAAACAUGCUCAAUACUAGAUGUAGAGGGUUUGCAUGAAUUAAGUUCAACGAUCUUAGCACACAAGAUAUCAUUAUUAUCUCUAAGAUCGGAAAUUGUAACAUUGCAAACAUCUAGUUCUUUAGCCUUAGCAAUUAAAUUUUCAUUUUCUACCCUAAGGCUAGCAAGAGAAAUGCUUAAUUCUUCAAUCUUAGCAAGCAAAUCAUCAUUAUCAUUUCUAAGAUUGGGAAUUGAAACAUUACAAACAUGUGAGUCAACCUUAGCAUUUAAACUAGCAUUUUCAUUUUUAAGGUUGGUAAUAGUAUCAUGGCAAGUACUCAGCUCACUAGAUAAUUUCUCACAUUUUUCUACCUCUAGAGCAUAAGCAUUUUUAACCUUAACAUGCUUUUUAUUUUCCUUGAUUAGGAAGUCCUCUUGGGAGUCCAAGAGGUCAUCCUUUUAAUGGAUGGCACUAAUUAGCUCAUUUAGUUUUUCCUUUUGUUCCAUGUUAAGGUUGGCAAAAAGAACGCGCAAGUUAUCCUCCUCAUUGCUAGCAUCAUCCUCAUCACUAGAGGUUUCAUAUUUAGUGGAGGAUCUUGAUUUUACCUUCUUCCUUUUGUCGUCCUUUGCCAUGAGGCACUUGUGGCCGACGUUUGGGAAGAGGAGUCCCUUGGUGACGGCGAUGUUGGCGGCGUCCUCGUCGGAGGAGGAGUCGGUGGAGCUCUCGUCGAAAUCCCACUCGCGGCACACGUGGGCAUCGCCGCCCCUCUUCUUGUGGUACCUCUUCUUUUCUUUCCUCUUUCCCUUCUUGUCGUUAUCCCUGUCACUGUCACUUGAUAAUGGACAUUUAGCGAUAAAGUGACCGGGCUUACCACACUUGUAGCAAACCUUCUUGGAACGGGAUUUGUGAUCUUUCCCCUUCCGUUGCUUGAGGAUUUGGCGAAAGCUUUUGAUGAUUAAAGCCAUCUCCUCAUUGUCGAGCUUGGAGGCGUCAAUUGGUUGCCUAUUCGGUGUAGACUCCUCCUUCUUCUCCUCCGUCGCCUUAAAUGCCACCGGUUGUGCUUCGGACGUGGAGGGUUCAUCAAGCUCGUUGAUCUUCUUAGAGCCCUUGAUCAUACAUUCAAAACUCACAAAAUUCUCGAUAACUUCCUCGGGGGUCAUUUGAGUAUAUCUAGGAUUACCACGAAUUAAUUGAACUUGAGUGGGGUUAAGGAAAAUGAGUGAUCUAAGAAUAACCUUAACCACCUCGUGGUCAUCCCAUUUCUUGCUCCCGAGGUUGCGCACUUGGUUCACCAAAGUCUUGAGCCGGUUGUACAUGUCUUGUGGCUCUUCCCCUUGGCGAAGUCGAAAGCGACCGAGCUCCCCCUCGAUCGUUUCCCGCUUGGUGAUCUUUGUUAGUUCAUCACCCUCGUGCGCGGUCUUGAGGAGGUCCCAAAUUUCCUUUGCAUUCUUCAAUCCUUGCACCUUGUUGUAUUCCUCUCUAUUUAGAGAGGCCAAGAGUAUGGUUGUGGCUUGGGAGUUGAAGUGCUCGAUUUGGGCCACCUCGUCCUCAUCAUAAUCCUCAUCCCCUACGGAUGGUACCUGUGCUCCAAACUCAACAACAUUCCAUAUACUUUUGUGGAGUGAGGUUAGAUGAAAUUUCAUUAAAUCACUCCACAUAGCAUAAUCUUCGCCAUUAAAGGUUGGCGGUUUGCCUAAUGGAACGGAAAGUAAUGGAGUAUGUCUAGAUGUACGAGGAUAGUGUAAGGGGAUCUUACUAAACUUCUUGCGCUCUUGGCGCUUAGAAGUUACGGACGGUGCAUCAGAGUCGGAGGUCGAUGUUGAUGAAGUGUCGGUCUCGUAGUAGACCACUUUCCUCAUCCUCUUGUGCUUGUCGCCUUUCCGAUACGACUUGUGAGAAGAAGAUUUUUCCUUCUUCUCUUUGUGGUGAGAAGAGGAAGAUCUUUUCUCCUUCCGUUUGGAGGAGUCCUUCUUCUUCUCCUUCCUCUUGGUGCGGGAUUCUUCCGAUGAAGUGCUCCCUUGGCUUGUAGUGGGCUUGUCGCCGGUCUCCAUCUCCCUCUUGGUGUGAUCUCUCGACAUCACUUCGAGCGGUUAGGCUCUAAUGAAGCACCGGGCUUUGAUACCAAUUGAAAGUCGCCUAGAGGGGGGGUGAAUAGGGUGAAACUGAAAUUCUCAAGAAUAAUCACAACUAUAAGCCGGGUUAGCGUUAGAAAUAUAAUAGAGUCCGCGAGAGAGGGUGCAAAACAAAUCGCAAACGAAUAAUGAAGUGAGACACGCGGAUUUGUUUUACCGAGGUUCGGUUCUCUCAAACCUACUCCCCGUUGAGGAGGCCACAAAGGCCGGGUCUCUUUCAACCCUUCCCUCUCUCAAAACGGUCCCACGGACCGAAUGAGCUUUCUCUUCUCAAUCACUUGGAACACAAAGUUCCCACAAGGACCACCACAAGUUUGGUGUCUCUUGCCUCAAUUACAAGUGAGUUUGAUCGCAAUGAAAGAAUCAAGAAGGAAGAAAGCAAUCCAAGCGCAAGAGCUUGAAAGAAACACAAGCAAAUCACUCUCUCUAAUCACUAGGGCGUUGUGUGGAAUUUGGAGAGGAUUUGAUCUCUUUGGUGUGUCUAGAAUUGAAUGCUAGAGCUCUUGUAAGUAGUUGGGAAGUGGAAAACUUGGAUGCAAUGAAUGGUGGGGUGGUUGGGUUAUUUAUAGCCCCAACCACCAAACUUGACCGUUGGCGGAGGCUGUCUGUUCGAUGGCGCACCGGACAGUCCGGUGCACACCGGACAUGUCCGGUGCCCCAGCCACGUCACCAGUGCCGUUGGAAUUUGACCGUUGGAGUUCUGACUUCUGGGCCCGCCUCGAUGUCCGGUGGCGCACCGGACAUGAACUGUUCAGUGUCCGGUGCGCCGGUAUGGGCGCGCCUGCCUUCUGCGCGCGCUGCGCGCGCAUUUAAUGCGUGGCAGGUAGCCGUUGGCGCGAAGUAGCAGUUGCUCCAAGGAUGCACCGGACAGUCCGGUGCACACCGGACAUGUCCGGUGAAUUAUAGCGGAGCAGCCUUCGUGAAAUCCCGAGGCUGGCGAGUUCCGGAGCAGCGUCUUCGUUGGAGCACCGGACACUGUCCGGUGUACACCGGACAGUCCGGUGAAUUAUAGCGCGCCGGUUCUGGAUUUUCCCGAAGGUGACGAGUUGGAGUUGGAGUCCUCUGGUGCACCGGACACUGUCCGGUGGCACACCGGACAGUCUGGUGCGCCAGACCAGAGGAGCCUUCGGUUGCUCCUUUGCUCUUUUUGUUGAACUCAAUACUUGGUCUUUUUAUUGGCGAAGUGUGAACCUUUUGCACCUGUAUAACUUAUACACUAGAAUAAACUAGUUAGUCCAAAGAUUUGUGUUGGGCAAUUCAACCACCAAAAUUACAUAGGAACUAGGUGUAAGCCUAAUUCCCUUUCAGCAGCGCCGGUGGUUUUAUCUCCGGAAUGAUGACGGGAGGCUCCCGUCAUUUUCUCAAGGAGUGGUGACCGCCGCCGGCGGUAACUGGCGCUACGGGGCCCCGCGCGAGAGACAGAAGAAUCUCCAGCCCCUUUUGAAGGCCUUGGAGGAGCUGCGAGAAGGAGGGCUCACCGCCGCGGGGGUGGUUGCCGCCAUUCAUCGCGAGAGGGUGCUCCCCUUGACGGAGCGGCGGCUGCCGCUUUGGGAGAUGACGCCGGGGGUCAACUUGGAGGGUUUGCAGAUGUCCUCGGUCCUCCUUCCCGCCGACGACCUCCACAGGUGGGUAGCCCGCACAGUAGGGAAGUUAGACGCCGGCGCCUUUUCCCAGCUCUCGAUGCGUCCCGAUCGUGGGUGUGUGUCCCUAGUGAGUGUCCGCUCCUUCUUCCUUCUUGUGUCAGAUUGCCCUUGGUUCUCACAGCUGAGACUUUUCGUCCGUCUCCAGGAGGUGGGGUUUCACAAGCCUUCCCUGCCACCGGUCCCGGAGGACGCGGUGGACCGAGCCGCGCGGAGGGUCGCCGCGGAGAAGAGGAAGGAGAAGAAGGACGCGAAGAAGGCUUGGGCCCGCGAGCGGAUGCGGGCUCGGGACGCCUUGGAGAGGCUUCGUCGUCGGCAGGAGAGGGAUGGGUUCCCGAGGGAGCCGUCACCGGAGACGCCUGACGACGACGACGAUGAAGAUGAUGAUGAAGACGACGACAUGGCUGCCCGCCUCGGCCUUAGCCCGGAUCUGAGGCUGGGCCAGGGGUCGUCGAGCCAGCCCCCGAGCGGGCUGGCGCCGUCGGUAUCCGGGGCCAGGACGUCGGGGUCCCGGUCCGAAGAACGGGGGCAGGCCGAGGGGGUACUUGACCCCUUGGCCGAGGUAGUUGAGGUGACCCAGGGGAGUCAGGCCGACCCGCAUGUUCCCCAAGAACCGUUGCCCGUGCCGACUGCACAGGAGGGUGAUCCUUGGGUCGCCGUGGCUGCGCCUGGGCAGUCCAUCCCUCUGGUGCCUCGGGCGCCCGAGGCAAGGAUGGUGUCGAAGCCGGCAGCGGGGCUAACCUCGGUGGUACCUUCGGAGACCGAGGCUCGAGGGACUUCCCCGCCGGCACGAUUGGUCGUGGCCCGGAGUGGGUAAGUAUCUUAGGAUACCUCCGUCCCGGCUCCUCCUUCGUAUGUCCUGAUCCUGCUCUUCCCUUUCUCCCCAGCAAGCAGAGGCACGGUUCGACCGGUCUGGCUCCCCGGAAGGUCCUCAAGACGGUGUUGGCUUCUGCAGCUAGUGCCACGCCGGGCCUCGCUGGCCAGCUAACCUCCUCGCAAGAUGCCCCAAAGCGGGGGGCUCAGGCGGCACAAGUUGCCGUGGGGCGAGCUCCCGAGGCUGACUCGGCGACUGCUGGCGCGGCUGCGGCCUCGAGCCCACCAGACGUGUUGCCGGUGCUGGCACCGGCUUCUACCGAGGCCGUUGCCGUUCUGGCCGUGGAGCCACCCGUCGCCGCCGAUGCUGAGAUGGCCGAGGCGUCGCUACCUGAUGCCUCGGAGAAGAGGGGCGCAGAACCGCGACCCGUCCUGGGGAGCGGCAGCCUCGUCCCCGCGCGACGUAGUCCCGACGGGCGGCGUCAGUCGCUCCGGUUCUGGACCCGUGGUGCUUCGGAUCCCCUCUUCGUUCUCGACGAUGAGCGAGAGGAGCAGUCUUGGGACGGGCUUCGUGAGUGUGCCGAGGCGACGGUGGGGUCACUUCGGUCGACCCUGGAGGUCCUUUGCAGGGACGUUCCCAAGAUUCUCCAGGUAAGGAUUUCAGGCAUACCUUUCACGUGAUCAAGGCAUUUUUUGUUGACGCCCCGCUUCCUUUCCUCAGGAUCUGACGAAUCUGAGCGCCGCCAAGUCGUCGUUCAUCCACCGCGAGGCCGAUGUCUGGGGUUCGCUGCGGUUCCUGAGGACCACGCUUGUCGAGACUACCGAGCGCCUCUCCCAAUGGAGCGCCGAGGUGGCGGACCUUCGGUUGCUCUGUGUCGAUCUAGGAGCGGAGGCAGCGGCGGCACGCGCAGAGGCGCGGCGGCAGCAGUUGGAGCUUGGCCAGGUCAUCGGCGAGCGGGACCAAUCUCGGGGCCGGGCCGUCGAGGCUGAAAGCCGGGCUGAGGCCCUUGGAGACCAGCUAGCCGAGGCGUCUGCUCAGGCCGGAGCCCUUGCGGCAGACCUAGCCGUGGCCCAAGCCGCAUCCUCGGAGUAGCGUGCCCGAGCCGAAGGUAUGUCUUGGCUGUUUUAAGAUUUUGAUUCAGCUUCAUUCUUCAACUCGUGUUUGAAGACUUCUGCUUUGGCUGUUUGCAGAACUCGAGUCUGCCCUCGAUGAGUCCACCAAGGCACUUGCCCAGGCGGCCGAGCAGAGGGAGGCCGACCACGUGGCCAUGUCUGAGGCUAUCUCGGCCUUCUGCUGGGUCUUUGGUCUCGACGACGUCCCCUCAGGAAGCUCCCCUCAGAGUCGCCUGCAUGCCUUGGGUGACCAUGCGCGUGACAGACUCCGCGAGGCGCUGCAUCACGGCGUCAGGCGGGCCUUCGCCGUGCUCGCUUCCCACUACGACGUGGAUCUGGAGCGGGUCAGCGAGGGGUAUUGCCUUCCCGACGAAGAUGAAGCUGCCCUGGCCGAAGUCCAGAGGCUUGAUGCGGCCGCCGCGGGCCCAAGCGCGGUGCUGGCGACCACCUUCGAGGCAGAGAUCCUUCCGCUUGCGCCGUCUUCCGAGGCCGGGGCGGAUCUCGCCGAGGGUGGAAACGAAGCCGAGGGCGCGGCUCCUUCUCCGGGCGACACCUGAUUCUGCUAGAGCAGUUUAUUUUGAAUGCGUAGUGCGUAUGUGUCUUUUGCGGCCGCCGAGGCCCGAACACUUUGUCGUCAUAAUAUAAAGCCGUGUCUCUUUUCCUCCUGUUUUGCGUGUCCUGGCUCGUUCGUCAGUAGCAAGAUUGCUUACCCAAGUAAGAGUUAUUUUUCGCGGUAGGUGACGAGUGAGGUUUCCGUAUCCCGGAGGCGUAGGAGUCCCUCGGCUCGGUCGGCCUUGCCACUUACAUGCACUCUUAUUCGUUUCUCGGGGUCCUGUUACUGAUAUAGCCGGGAGACGCGAAAGUCGUUAGCAGUGUCUCUUUUCCUCCUGUUUUGCGUGUCCUGGCUCGUUCGUCAGUAGCAGGAUUGCUUACCCAAGUAAGAGUUAUUUUUCGCGGUAGGUGACAAGUGAGGUUUCCAUAUCCCGGAGGCGUAGGAGUCCCUCGGCUCGGUCGGCCUUGCCACUUACAUGCACUCUUAUUCGUUUCUCGGGGUCCUAUUACUGAUAUAGCCGGGAGACGCGAAAGUCGUUUUGGUGGAAGACUUCUUUCGAGGAAAAUUUUGACGCUGAGGGGGUUCGCCCCUUCUAGCCCCCGAGGGAGGGUCGGGCUUUGCCGAGGCAAGGCUGACCCUUCCUUGAUGGUUAGACUUUGUAUGUAAACGAGGUAUAUGAACGGCUUGAAAACAUCUUAAGGGUAGAAGCGACGUAGCUGUCGGAUGUUCCAAGCGUUGCUGUAGACCUCGCCUUGAAUGUUGGCCAGCUUGUACGUCCCGGGCUUCAAAACCUUAGCGAUGACGAACGGCCCUUCCCAGGGAGGCGUGAGCUUGUGCCGCCCUCGGGCGUCUUGUCGUAGUCGAAGCACCAAGUCGCCCACCUGGAGGUCUCAGGACCGAACCCCUCGGGCGUGGUAGCGUCGCAGGGACUGCUGAUACCGCGCCGAGUGUAGUAAGGCCAUGUCCCGAGCCUCUUCCAACUGGUCCAGUGAGUCUUCUCGGUUGGUCUGCUUGCGUCGUUCGUCGUAGGCCCUCGUCCUUGGGGAACCGUAUUCUAAGUCUGUGGGCAAGAUGGCCUCGGCUCCAUAGACUAGAAAGAACAGCGUGAAACCCGUGGCUCGACUUGGCGUCGUCCUCAGGCUCCAGACCACCAAGGGGAGUUCCUUCAUCCAUCGCUUGCCGAACUUGUGGAGGUCGUUGUAGAUCCUCGGCUUGAGUCCUUGCAGAAUCAUGCCGUUGGCACGUUCUACUUGCCCAUUCGUCAUGGGGUGUGUCACGGCGGCCUAGUCCACCCGGAUGUGGUGGUCUUCGCAGAAGUCCAGGAACUUUCUGCCAGUGAACUGGGUGCCGUUGUCGGGGAUGAUGGAGUUCGGGACCCCGAAGCGAUGGAUGAUGUUGGUGAAGAAUGCCACCGCCUUUUCGGACCUAAUGUUGUUUAGGGGUCGGACUUCGAUCCAUUUGGAGAAUUUGUUAACGACGACCAGUAGGUGCGUGUAGCCCCCGGGUGCCUUCUGCAAGAGACCGACGAGGUCCAGACCCCACACAGCAAACGACCAGGUGAUGGGUAUUGUUUGCAGAGCCUGAGCAGGUAGGUGGGUCUGCCUUGCGUAGAAUUGACACCCUUGGCAGGUGCGGACAUUUCUAGUGGCGUCGGCCACCGCGGUCGGCCAGUAGAAACCUUGUCGAAAAGCGUUUCCAACAAGGGCUCGAGGCGCUGCGUGAUGACCGCAAGCCCCCGAGUGUAUUUCUUGUAAGAGCUCCUGGCCUUCGGCGAUGGAUAUGCAUCGCUGGAGGAUGUCAGAGGGGCUGCGGUGGUAGAGCUCCUUCCCGUCACCCAGCAAGACGAAUGACUUGGCGCGCCGCGCCAGUCGCCGAGCUUCGGCUCUGUCGAGGGGUAGCUCUCCUCGGUGGAGAUAUUGCAGGUACGGGGUCUACCAGUUUCGAUUAGGCGUGACCCCAUUCCGCUCUUCCUCGAUGCGCAGAGCCUCACCCUCGGUAGCCGAGGGUGCCUCGGGCCGGGCCGAGGCCUUCUCGGGCUCGAGCGUGUCAUUUGUCUUGACUGAGGGUUGAUGUAGGUCCCGGGAGAAGACGUUCGGGGGAACCGUUGUUCGUGCCGAAGCUAUCUUCGCUAGCUCGUCCGCAAUCUCGUUGUACCGCCGGGCGACGUGGUUGACCUCGAGCCCGUAGAACUUGUCCUCCAGGCGCCGAACCUCGUCGCAGUAGGCUACCAUCUUCGGGUCGCGGCAGUGGGAGUUCUUCAUGACUUGGUCGAUGACAAGCUGCGAGUCACCGCGAGCGUCGAGGCGUCGGACCCCUAGCUCGAUGGCGAUGCGCAACCCAUUGACCAGAGCCUCGUACUCAACCACGUUGUUGGACGCCGGGAAAUGGAGGCGCAACACGUAGCGGAGGUGCUUCCCGAGGGGCGAGAUGAAGAGCAGGCCCGCGCCUGCCCCUGUUUUCAUCAGCGACCCGUCGAAAAACAUGGUCUAGAGUUCCGGUUGGAUCAGAGCCGCCGGAAGCUAGGUGUCGACCCAUUCAGCCACAAAGUCCGCCAAGACUUGGGACUUGAUGGCCUUCCGAGGGGCGAACGAGAUUGUCUCGCCCAUGAUUUCCACCGCCCACUUUGCAAUCCUACCCGAGGCCUCUCGACACUGGAUGAUCUCCCCCAGGGGGAAGGAUGACACCACAGUCACCGGGUGAGACUCGAAGUAGUGUCGCAACUUCCGCCGCGUCAGAAUCACCGCGUACAACAGCUUCUGAAUUUGUGGGUAGCGGAUCUUGGUCUCGGACAGUACCUCACUGAUGAAGUAGACCGGCCUCUGGACGGGCAAUGCAUGUCCUUCUUCUCGUCUUUCGACCACGAUCGCGGCGCUGACCACCUGAGUGGUAGCGGCGACGUAGAUCAAGAGGGAUCUGCUUUUUAUUUGGGGUCGAGCUCGGAGCCGAUCCGGAUCUGCUUAGAGGCGUCGUUGCUGGGGUCGAGAGGGACGGACUUAACCAUCUCUGCUGGCUCAAAGUUGCCGGCGUGGCGCUUCGCAUCUGGCGCCUCCUUGGAGAGGCUCUCCAGGUCGGCGAUGAGGGCCUCAGAUUCGGCGAGGGCCUUGGCGUACUCCACGCACUCCACAUCGCAUUCGUACGCGUGUCGGUACGUGGGGCCGAUGGUGAUGACCCCGUUGGGCCCCGACAUUUUGAGCUUGAGGUAGGUGUAGUUGGGGACGGCCAUGAACUUGGCGUAGCAUGGCCUCCCCAGUAAUGCGUGGUAGGUUCCUCGGAACCCGACCACCUCAAACGUGAGGGUUUCCCUUCGGAAGUUGGAGGGAGUCCCGAAGCAGACGGGCAGAUCGAGUUGUCCGAGGGGUUGGACGCGUUUCCCGGGGAUGAUCCUGUGAAAAGGCGCCGCGCCGGCCCGGAUCAAGGACAGAUCGAUCUGUAGGAGCCCGAGGGUCUCGGCGUAGAUGAUGUUGAGGCUGCUGCCUCCGUCCAUGAGGACCUUGGUGAGCCUGACGUUGCCGAUGACGGGGUCGACAACGAGCGGAUAUUUCCCCGGGCUCGGCACGCGGUCGGGGUGGUCGCCCUGGUCAAAGGUGAUGGGCUUGUCGGACCAGUCUAGGUAGACUGGCGCUGCCACCUUUACCGAGCAGACCUCCCGACGCUCUUGCUUGCGGUGCCGAGCCGAGGCGUUCGCCGCUUGCCCACCGUAGAUCAUGAAGCAGUCGUGGACCUCGGGGAACUCCUCUGCCUUGUGAUCCUCCUUCUUGUUGUUGUUGUGGGCCCUGCCACCUUCCGCCGGUGGCCCGGCCUUGUGAAAGUGGCGCCGAAGCAUGACGCACUCCUCAAGGGUGUGCUUGACGGGCCCCUGAUGAUAGGGGCACGGCUCCUUGAGCAUCUUAUCGAAGAGAUUGGCACCUCCAGGAGGUUUCCAAGGGUUCUUGUACUUAGCGGUGGCGACAAGGUCCGCGUCGGUGGCGUUGUGUUUCGCUUGCGACUUCUUCUUGUUCUUCUUCUUGGUGUCGCGCUGAGCGGAUGCCUCGGGGACGUCUUCCGGCUGGCGGCCCUGGGGCUGCUUGUCCUUUCGGAAGAUGGCCUCAACCGCCUCCUGGCCAGAGGCGAACUUGGUGGCGAUGUCCAUCAGCUCGCUCGCCCUGGUGGGGGUCUUGCGACCCAGUUUGCUCACCAGGUCACGAUAGGUGGUGCCGGCGAGGAACGCGCCGAUGACGUCCAAGUCGAUGACGUUAGGCAGCUCGGUGCGCUGCUUCGAGAAUCGCCGGAUGUAGUCCCGGAGAGACUCUCCCGGCUGCUGGCGGCAGCUUCGGAGAUCCCAGGAGUUCCCAGGGCGCACGUACGUGCCCUAGAAGUUGCCGGCGAAGGCUUGGACCAGGUCGUCCCAGUUGGAGAUCUGCUCCGGAGGCAGAUGCUCCAGCCAGGCUCGAGCGGUGUCGGAGAGGAACAGGGGGAGGUUGCGGAUGAUGAGGUUGUCAUCGUCCGUUCCACCCAGCUGGCAGGCCAGUCGGUAGUCCGCGAGCCACAGUUCCGGCCUCGUCUCCCCCGAGUACUUUGUGAUGGUAGUCGGGGUUCGGAACCGGGUCGGAAACGGCGCCCGUCGUAUGGCCCGGCUGAAAGCCUGCGGACCGGGUGGUUCGGGCGAGGGGCUCCGAUCCUCCCCGCUGUCGUAGCGUCCCCCACGCCUGGGGUGGUAGCCUCGGUGCACCCUCUCGUCGAGGUGGGCUCGACGGUUGCGGUGGUGGUGCUUGUUGCCGAGGCGACCCGGGGCCGCAGGCGCCGUGUUGCGCGUGCGCCCGGUGUGGACCGAGGCUUUCCGCACGAAUCGGGAAGUCGCGGAGCGAUGCUCCGAGGGGUACCCCUGCCUGGCGCGCCAACUGUCAGCGUUUCGACCCCGGGGGUCCCUGGACAGACGAGUAAAUUGUCGCUGCGUGUCCCAGCCCAGAUGGGUCGGCGCGAGACGGAACACAGAGGGGGAAAACGGUAAGGGGAAACCGCGGCCUUUGUGUUGUCCUGCGCCCAGGGCGGAUGGAUGCGCUUGCAAUAGGGGGUUACAAGCGUUCGCGUGGGAGAGAGCGAGAGCGAGAUCCUUAUGCAUCGGCCCGUUCUCCCGCGCGACCAACCUUUUGUACGAGAGCCCUGGACCUUCCUUUUAUAGACGUAAGGAGAGGGCCCAGGUGUACAAUGGGGGGUGUAGCAAUGUGCUAACGUGUCUAGCAGAGAGGAGCUAGUGCCCUAUGUACAUGUCGUCGUGGCUGUCGGAGAGGUGUUGUUGCCCUGUUCAUGUGAUGUCGUGGCCGUCGGAGGAGAGCUGGAGCCCUGCGGAAGUACAGCUGUCGGGGAUGUUAGAUCCUUGCUGACGUCUCCUUGCUGACGUAAGGGGCUGGGAGCUGCCGUCGUCAUGGAGCGUGCGGGGUGCAUCAUUACUUGUUUACUGGGACGAGCCAGAUGGGACGCCGGUCUUGUUCCCCGUAGCCUGAGCUAGCUAGGGGCAGGGUAAUGAUGGCCCCCCUUGUGACGUGGCCGGUCCGGGCCCGAGUUUGGGCGAGGUGGCGAUUCCUCCGAGGUCGAGGUUGAGUCCGAGCCCUGGGGUCGGGCGAGGCGGAGUCCAUCGUCUUCCGGAGCCGAGGCUGAGUUUGAACCCUGGGGUGGGCGAGGCGGAGUCCAUCGUCUUCCGGAGCCGAGGCUGAGUCCGAGCCCUGGGGUCGGGUGAGGCGGAGUUCGUCGUCUUCUAAGUCGUGGUUGAGUCCGAGCCCUGGGGUCGGGCGAGGCGAAGUCCAUCUUCCGAGGCCGAGACGGGGGCCAAACCCUAGGGUCGGGCGAGGCGGAGCUUCCUAUGUCGCCCAAGGCUGGACUUAGCCGCUGUCGACCUCACUCUGGCGAGUGGCACGACAGUCGGAGCAGGGCAGGCGGCGCUGUAUUCGUGUCAGGUCGGUCAGUGGAGCGGCGAAGUGACUGCGGUCACUUUGGCCCUGUCGACUGAAGAGCGCGCGUCAGGACAAGAUGUCAGGCGAUCCUUGCAUUAAAUGCUCCUGCGAUAUGGUCGGUUGGUGUGGCGAUUUGGCCAAGGUUGCUUCUCCGCGAAGCCUACCCGAGCUGUGCCUCGGGCGAGUCGACGGUGCGUCCGUUGCUUGAGGGGAUCCUCGGGCGAGGCGUGAAUCUUCCGGGGUCGGCUGUCUUUGCCCGAGGUCGGGCUCGGGCGAGGCGGGAUCGUGUCCUUUGAGCGGAGCCUUGGCCUGAAUCGCGCCCAUCAGGCCUUCGCAGCUUUGUGCUGAUGGGGUUUACCAGCUGAGAUCAGGAGUCUUGGAGGUACCCCUAAUUAUGGUCCCUGGCAACUAUAUACCCUUUUAUAUGCAAGAUUGUCAUACAAUAUAAAUUUAACGAUAGGUACAAUCAUGAUAAGUUGACAACAACUAGGUAAUGCAUUUGUAAACAAACAUUUUCCACCGACAUGUCACAUAUUUCUGUGCAGUCCUACUAAUUUAUUAAAAAUGUGAUAUCUUUUAGGUCAAAUAAUUUGUUUUAAUAUGUUUAAGUUGAGUUAGGUUCAUAUUAAUUUUGCGUACGUAUUAAUAGCAUUAUUUUAAUUAUGCCACAUGAUUUAAUUAAUUAAUAAUUAAUUAAUUACUUGUUUAAUUAAUGUUAAUUAGCUAGAUAAUGUAGUUAAUCUAAUUUAUAGUUCUAACCUACAUAUUUUACAAAUAAUUGUUAAUUAUUAAUAUCAACUCAAAUAUUUUAAUUAAUACCUGCUUUAUUUAAAUGCACUAUCUGUUAGAUCAUAUGUAUUAUAGAUUUAUUGCGUCUAAAAUAGUGUUUUAUCCAUAAAUUCUUUGUUUUAACACCGAUUUUAAUGGUUCUUGAACCUACGAUUUCGUAGCGACGCGUAAAAUAUCCUUAAUGUUACCAUGCCCAUUAUUUGCUUGAUUGUAUGUAUAGCUACGAGUAGUAGCGAGGUCACGAGGAACCUGAAUACCAAAUUAGAGAAGUACCUGUAGUUAUACCACAAAGGCAAGUUGUGCCCUUGAUCACUCUUCUUUACCCAAUAAUGUUCUCGUUAAUCACUGUGUCAUGAUCACGUUAAUUUGAUGGGACCUAAUAGGUUACCCUAGUUUUGUUUACCCAACACCUUACAAACAAAUGAACUAUUGGGUAGUCUUGCUAUUGCUCUACCUGGUUUUGGGAUUAAUAUUAUAUUUGAAUUAGGAUCAUUUUCCAUUGUUAUUAUGGUUUAAUUUUUAUUCAUGAUAACACCAUUGUGUUAAUUGGAACAUGGCGCUUAACUUGAGGUAACCGUGCUACCACAAAGGUGGAAUGAGACGCCCUUGACUGACUAAUUAGGAAAGCUAGCGGAGGACUACCUUACCCGAAAGGGGCAAGGGCGAUAGAGGAGUUGCCGAUUUAGGGAGGUUCUUAGGUCGAUCAUGAUGCGAUGGCUUUUCGGACGAGGGAUUCCUAUAUCGCUCUUCUCACGAAAUCGUAGCGGGUUUUCUGAAGCUAGUGGAACUUUGUAAAGGUCUUGUAGUGGAUCCCUAGCCAUUCACCUCGGAAGUGUUUAAGGGCCUUUCAAACCCUUGAUGGGAUACACGACUUGUGGGUAAAGGGUGCAACCUCUGCAGAGUGUAACACUGGUAUAUGAGUCGUGCUCACGGUCAAGAGCGACUCAGGACUCUCGCAUGAUUAAUUUAUGAAAUUAAAUUUAAUCUAUCAUUUGCAUUGCAUUAUAGGAUUUAUUAUUAAUUAUGAUCUCUUAUGUUAUUGGGAUGUUAUCUACUUAUACUUAGUAACUGCUAAUAAAAUUUUGACCAACUUGUUAAAAGAAACGCUCAGCCUUAACCAUUCUCUUCGGUAAGCCUUACACUUCACAUGAGCCCCACCGUACGUGAGCUCAUGCACAUUAUUCCCCACAACUUGUUGAGCGAUGAACGUAUGUGAGCUCACCCUUGUUGUACUCACACCCCCAGGUCAAGGAUAGGUACCGCCAAGAUGAGGAGCAUGAAGGAUGUCGCGAUGAGUUCGUGAGAGGUCUAGGCCGUCGUCUCCCAGUCAACUAUGGUUGCGAAGGAUCGUUGUCUGCAUAUGAUGUAACUAUUUAGAUAUUUUGUACAAAACUCCUAUUAUAUAGUAAAGAUGUGA
Molecule: long non-coding RNA, 28908 nt
Filed under: Zea mays
Lineage: Eukaryota; Viridiplantae; Streptophyta; Magnoliopsida; Poales; Poaceae
Description: long non-coding RNA (ZMAY_LNC005303)
Source: RNAcentral